RNAcentral lists this long non-coding RNA (932 nucleotides) under Struthio camelus australis. RNAcentral describes it as "lncRNA (ENSSCUG00000002232.1)". Lineage: Eukaryota; Metazoa; Chordata; Aves; Struthioniformes; Struthionidae. The record is from RNAcentral.
AGGUCCUGCACAGAUGAGACCUGGAUGGGAAAAGAGCUAGUAAAGCUGCUGGGCAGCACAGCAAAAAACAGGGACAAGGGGCAUCUUUCUCUCCAGGAUGAGAUACGACUCCGGCCAUGUGCAAGGAAACUAUGAGUCUUCAGUGCAAUUAACCCUCCCUUUGCCUAGAAGAUUCCUGCUCUUCUCCCAGUUUUUCCGGAUGGGUGUGGAAGAGGCACGCAAUAGGGAAGUGGCUUGGCAAAGAUGAAGCUAGACCUACGUUCAGGGUUGUUGUGGGCACCCAUGCAAAUCUGCCUGAAGGCCAGGAGGGGGACUGCAAGGACAAAAGAAGACAUAAGCUGAAAAAGGAAAAGAGGAAUCGAGGAGAAAUUCCCUUGAUGAUAGUGGAAAGUCAUGGAUGCUACUGCAGGAGGUGUGACUCGGACAUCGUUCCAUGGCAAAAAAAAUAUGUAAAAUCAUAUUAAUCAUGUUUGUUAUAUGUAAAACACACUAGCAUUCAGUAGCGGGAGCGCUCUUUAUCAUGCUGAAGGUGUCUCUUAAGACUGUUUGCUGCAGCCACAUGGAAAAGAUCUAUCAGACAAAAAUACACCCAAAGCAUGUUUCCAGGAUGACAUGACUGCAUUGGAGAAGAAGGGGGAGCUCUAAGAAUGUCUGCUUCAGAGUGUAGUAUUCAUAACUAACAAAAAGUCCAGACCCAACGAUCUGAUCCCUCAAAAGGUUGUCAGUACAAUAGGUCAAUACAUGCCCUUUGGUUUAUAACAGGGAAUUCAUACAGAUUCAUUGCAAAGGUCUAAUGUAUUAUUUGUAACUUUUUUUUUCAUAUACAAUGCUUCCUCUGUGCCCAGCUCAAAAAAAAUCCGUGAGAGCAAGAGAGACAUGGGUGAUAUGUAGUCACAUAAUAAACGGACCUUGAACACUGCUGCUUGAGGGCA